AUUGAACGCUGGCGGCAUGCUUUACACAUGCAAGUCGAACGGCAGCGCGGGCUUCGGCCUGGCGGCGAGUGGCGAACGGGUGAGUAAUGCAUCGGAACGUGCCCAGUCGUGGGGGAUAGCGCGGCGAAAGCCGGAUUAAUACCGCAUACGACCUGCGGGUGAAAGCGGGGGAGCGCAAGACCUUGCGCUAUUGGAGCGGCCGAUGGCGGAUUAGCUAGUUGGUGGGGUAAAGGCUUACCAAGGCGACGAUCCGUAGCUGGUCUGAGAGGACGACCAGCCACACUGGGACUGAGACACGGCCCAGACUCCUACGGGAGGCAGCAGUGGGGAAUUUUGGACAAUGGGGGCAACCCUGAUCCAGCCAUGCCGCGUGCGGGAAGAAGGCCUUCGGGUUGUAAACCGCUUUUGUUCGGGAAGAAACCCUCUUGGCUAAUACCCAGGGGGGAUGACGGUACCGGAAGAAUAAGCACCGGCUAACUACGUG
Molecule: ribosomal RNA, 484 nt
Filed under: uncultured bacterium
Lineage: Bacteria
Description: partial 16S ribosomal RNA
Rfam family: Bacterial small subunit ribosomal RNA
Source: RNAcentral